This 484-nucleotide ribosomal RNA is filed under the name uncultured bacterium. Its description in RNAcentral is "partial 16S ribosomal RNA". It matches the Rfam family "Bacterial small subunit ribosomal RNA", at positions 28 to 507 of the family's 1533-position model. The record is from RNAcentral.
AUUGAACGCUGGCGGCAUGCUUUACACAUGCGAGUCGAACGGCAGCGCGGGCUUCGGCCUGGCGGCGAGUGGCGAACGGGUGAGUAAUGCAUCGGAACGUGCCCAGUAGUGGGGGAUAGCCCGGCGAAAGCCGGAUUAAUACCGCAUACGACCUGAGGGUGAAAGCGGGGGACCGAAAGGCCUCGCGCUAUUGGAGCGGUCGAUGUCGGAUUAGCUAGUUGGUGGGGUAAAGGCUUACCAAGGCGACGAUCCGUAGCUGGUCUGAGAGGACGACCAGCCACACUGGGACUGAGACACGGCCCAGACUCCUACGGGAGGCAGCAGUGGGGAAUUUUGGACAAUGGGGGCAACCCUGAUCCAGCCAUGCCGCGUGCGGGAAGAAGGCCUUCGGGUUGUAAACCGCUUUUGUUCGGGAAGAAAUCCUCUGGGCUAAUACCCCGGGGGGAUGACGGUACCGGAAGAAUAAGCACCGGCUAACUACGUG